GUAAGCUAAUUUGGAGAUUUUGCAAGCUGACAUGCAACCUGAUUAAAAUGACCCCAGGCCAACAAUUCUUCUUAGGCAGCUCCGCAAUUAAAGUCUAGACCUAUCUGUAGCCCAGGUUUGGCUUUUGGGGUUUUUUUUUUUUUUUUUUUUUAAUUUUUUUUUUUUUUUUUUCUUUUUUCUUUUUUCUUUUUUUUUUUUUUCUUGGGGAUUCUCCUUUCUCCUGCCAGACUGACUUGCACCUUCUUGAUAAUUUCUCUUCCCCUCGUUUUUUUUUUAUACUCUUCUCCCUGCUUCCAAACCCUGUGUCUGUGUGUUCCAAUACUAUCACAACCUCCGCUAAAAAUAGAUCUUUUUAUAUACCCUUCCUCCUCUCUGACCCCAUCCAACACCCCUUGUUAAGGUGAGUUGUGUCUUUUCAUCACUUUUUUCCUUGUGUGUUGUUUUUUUGGCUUUGUUUUUGUUGUUGUUGUUUGUUUUUUUUUUUUCUUUCCCUCCCUUUAGGGCAGGUUUUAGGGAGGAGGGGGUGUGGAGGAGAGAAUUUCGGGGGGAGUCAGGCAUGUUUGCAAAGCCUUAUUUUCCCUUCUGCAGCCUCAGCAUCAUUCCGGACUGCUCCCUUUUAUCCCAAGGAUGUAGCUAGCUGAUGAAAGUGGGGAACUACUCUUCCUUAGCACUGCAUGCUUGGGAGGCACAGCAACAGCAGGGAAAAAAAAAGCUUCUCUUUUUUCCUUCGCCCCCCCCUUUCCCCCCCGCGCCCCUGUUCCCUCCUUCCCUCCUCCUUUCUGUGUUUUGUUGGUUUGGGGGAUUUUUUUUGUGGGGUGGUUUUGUUUGGUAGGGGUGGGGUUUUUUGUUUGUUUGUUUGUUUUUUUCUCUCUUAUCUUAUGAACUGAAUGAAAGAAAAGGUUCAGUCUCGUUAUUUAAAACUAAUGACUUCGCUUUUGAAAGUUCAAACGACAUUGGCAUCGCAAGGUUAGACAUUUAGGAAACACCAAAGCUUUUUUUUUUUUUUUUCCUUUGAUGUGUGUGUGUGCUUGGUUUCUGUUUUUAAGCAGUACACAGGGGACUUGGAAAGAAUUGCAUGGGAUGGCGGGGGGGGGGGGGGGGGGGGGAGGAGUGUGUGUGCGUGUGUGCGCGCAGAUGUAUGUGUGAAGUGCAU
RNAcentral lists this long non-coding RNA (1153 nucleotides) under Calidris pugnax (ruff). Its description in RNAcentral is "lncRNA (ENSCPUG00000005330.1)". Lineage: Eukaryota; Metazoa; Chordata; Aves; Charadriiformes; Scolopacidae. The record is from RNAcentral.